UUUGAAAGUUUGAAACGGAAGCGUCCUGGUGUUUCCUGUCCGCCUUGACCACCGCGGGGAGGCUCCGGCGGCUCGUUGAACUCUCCCACGCCGCGGUCAGCGCUCCUCCUCCGGCUGAGUCCACACGUGGUGACCGGGGAGAGUCGGAGACGGCCUGAACCAGUGAAUCUGGAGCCGGUCAUUUAUCCAUCUAUCUGUCAGUCUCUCUGCGCUGAGGUCCAACAGUAACAGGCUCUCAGGCCGAUUGCUGCCGAAGUCACUCUCAGUCAUGUUGCAUGUGAGGCGACACUGAGGAGAAUUGUAAUAACUACACCUGAGCUUUGGAAACCGUCCUGUUCUCAUUCAUCACCAGGCUCCACCUCUUCUCAGCGGCCGGAUCUAUCACGUUCUUAUCCUUC
Long non-coding RNA from Mugil cephalus (flathead mullet), 398 nucleotides. RefSeq lists it as uncharacterized. Lineage: Eukaryota; Metazoa; Chordata; Actinopteri; Mugiliformes; Mugilidae. The record is from RefSeq and is a predicted model, not a curated record. The transcript has 3 exons.